GGAAGCGCAAACCCAUUGGCGAGGGGGCCGGUCUCGAAAACCGUGUGUGCCGCAAGGCCUUGGGGGUUCGACUCCCUCCGCUUCCGCCA
This 89-nucleotide transfer RNA is filed under the name Sphingomonadales bacterium. RNAcentral's name for it is "tRNA-Ser". It matches the Rfam family "tRNA". Rfam says of the family: Transfer RNA (tRNA) molecules are approximately 80 nucleotides in length. Their secondary structure includes four short double-helical elements and three loops (D, anti-codon, and T loops). Lineage: Bacteria; Pseudomonadati; Pseudomonadota; Alphaproteobacteria; Sphingomonadales. The record is from RNAcentral.